RNAcentral lists this long non-coding RNA (11885 nucleotides) under Equus caballus (horse). Its description in RNAcentral is "lncRNA (ENSECAG00000053351.1)". The record is from RNAcentral. Lineage: Eukaryota; Metazoa; Chordata; Mammalia; Perissodactyla; Equidae.
UGUGCCCGCACUGCUUCCCCCCGCCCCGCCUCCUUUCCCAGCCCCACUUCACCCAUACCAAAGAGGAGCAGGACUUGCUGUUGGAAGACAGGAUUUGAGGUCCACUCCCAGUUUCAUGGCCUGCUUUUUUUGUCCCAUUAUAAUCAUUUAGUCCACAAAUGUCCACUGAGCACCUUCUGUGUGCCACUCUGAGUGUUCAGGCCUGUUAGUUGUGCCGGGAAGGGAGCAUCACCCAGGAGCCUUCCAAAGGCACUGAAACUGGUCAUCUCCCUGGAGGAGUGGAGACCCUGAGGUAUGGGGGGGGGGGGGCCCUCUGAGGCAUGCCCAGCGGAGAUGACUUCCUUUUUCUUCUGGUUGAGUCCAGGUUCUCUUCAUCCUUUGAACAUCUGGGGACAUGAAUGAAUUCCCCUGGUCACUCUGUCACUCAUUUGUCAGUUCACUCAGAGCUCAUUGCCUUAUUAAUCCAUUUGUUCCCUCCUUUAUUUAGCUCAUGCAUUUUUUCCUAAGCAAGAGGGGGAGAUUUAUUAGGAGAACACAGGGAACCCCAGAACAAACAGCGAAUAGGCUAACUCCUCUUCCCAAGUGACCAGAGCCAGCGGCUGGUAAGGCAUGAGGAACCAAGCCUGCUCUGUUCUUUCCCUGACCCUGGGGCCACCUAGCCACUCCUCUCUGCUUCCCUUUGCACAUCACUCAAUCCUCCUAUCUUUUUAAUCUGUUGGUUUCUCCCCGUUUCCACUGCCAUGACCCUAGUAAAGGAUUGUCCUUUUUUUGGCCUGGAGAAUUGAAAUGGCCUCCCAAUCUUUCUCCCCAAAUCCACUCUUGCCCAUUUCCAAUGGGUUGUUCUCCUUGCUGCAGCCAGAGUGACUUGCUACCAAUAGAGAAUGUAUUCUGUGGCUUUCCCUGGCUCCUAGGAUAAUCAUCAGAAUCAUAAGCGUGGUGUGGAACUGGAUGAUGGCUCGCCACCCUCAGUGCCCUUGUUGUGGUUCCUCCCAGCUGGAGGAUUAGGCGGCCCUGCUCCUUGUUGCUCUCGGGCACGGCAAGGGGGCUGAGGAACGGCAAAGAGCCGGUGUGCGCUUUGUCACUUCUUCUCCUUCUCCUGGGGCAAUGGCGAUAUUGCAGACAGACUGUCCCACAGCCUGAGUCCAGAGGGAAGGCGACAAGCAGUAGAACCAUGUGGACACGUAGCGCGAGAGAUAGACAGACCCGACUGUGGGCCCCUGAGAUCUGGGGACUCAUUUGUUCUCAGCAUAAUCCAGCCUCCCCUCACUGGUACCCAUGGCCCACAAGCUCUCCCUCACUGCCCUGUCUCUCCGCUGGAGGCUUUCAGUACUUACAGGAGCCGCUCCCUCCCACCUUGGAACGUGGUCUGUUACUCUCUCUCUUCGGAAAGUUGCUUAUGCCUAUUUCUGCCUGGUUUAUAUUUACUCACCAGUGAGAUCUCGGCUUAAACGUGAACUACUCAGGAAAGGACUGCCUGAUCUGUGUUCAGAGUACCUUCAAUUCCCCUUCUUUGUCACUAGAUCUCUUUCACUGAACUCUAAGUUCUGUGAAGACAGAGCUCAGGCAUUUGGCUCAUGCUUUUUUGAGGCUCUGCUCCAUCCUCACUAUGUGCCAGGGCCUGUGCUGAGGGGCUGGAGGGGACGGGGGUGAAUCAGCCAUAAGCCCGGCUCCCACAAACCCACCCCCUGGUAGGGGAGACAGACAUGCAAGCAGCAGCAUUCGAACCCACUGUGAUCAUUCCAGCCAGGAUAAAAGAGCAUAAUAAGAGUAUAUGAAAGAGGCUGGAAGGAAGGCAAGGGAGACUGCCUGGAGGAGGAGGCAUCAGAGCGGGUUUUGAGGAGGCAUUGGAGUUGUCCAGGUGGGGAACUUGCUGGGGGAGUGUGGUGGGAGAUGGUAGAGGUAGAAGCAGUGUGCCCAAAGUUUCCAAGGCUCAAAAGACGAUGAGUUUGGACCAGAAGUGAACAUCUGGCAUCUGUAUUCCUGGGAACACAAGCAUUCUUGUUUCUGGGCCUUUGCAAGUGAAAAGUGGCGCGUGGUGUUUGCUCCUCAGAGUCUAUGGACAGUGAUGAUCAUAGCAGGUUCCAGGCCCUUCCACACAGUGGGCAUCCAUGGCAGACUCCGAUCAGGGGUCCCCCGGGCCACAUGUGGGUGCGUGCUGGCGCUUUGUUCCAGGACGAAGCAGUCAGAGACGCCUUUGUCUCCACUCCGCUCCUUGGAGACGGCAAGAUGCCUUAAGUUCCUCUCCUUGUCUUCUAAGAACCCACCACAGUUCCUUCUAGCGAACCAAGACUUCCUGCACACGCAGCCCCAGCAGUCAUUUAAAAUUUGCAUAAGAUGAAUAAAACGGAAGAGAGAUGAAUCGCCAGAAACACCACGUCACUGGAUAUAAUGUCCCUCGAUACAAUCUCGUUACUGAAAUAAUCUGCAGGAGCAGGAUGCUCAGGGACUUGGGACUGUGGUCGCUCAGCAGUCCCUGGCCUGGGGGAGGGAAGGUGUGUCCACGCAGGACGGGGCGUUUCAGGGCCCUGAUGGAAUGUGGCAGAAAAGCUUUCCCGGCCUCCCAGGAGGUGGGCAGGUGGACAGUGAUGCUAGAAAGUCUCUCCCCUUUGUGGCCCUGACUUUCUCGUUGUCACCAUGGGAGUGAAGUGUGUCCCUCACUGCGGACUUCACUGGCUGUGACACUGGUGCAACAGUAAGAGAGUGUUUCAAAAAGUCCACUGACUCCAAGGAAUCUUUGUUGUUCCUGAUGGCAUUAUUAUUUUCAUGCCAAUCAUUAGGUGGUCUCUGAGGGGCUCCCCAAAGUGGGGGACAGACACCCACAGAACCUGGCCCCAGACAUACGUUCUCCGUGAGAAAGCUGAACUCUGGUGUGGCUGUCUGCAGGAGGGCACGCUGACCCCCGCUGGGGAGGAAGGAGCUGGGCAGUGCGGACAAGGGGGACUCCUGCCAGCUGAGGCCCUGAGUGGAGGGAAGAUGGGGGCCUCGAAAGGCCUGGAGGCCAGGGGCCGGCCCGGUGGCGCAGCGGUUAAGUUCGCACGUUCCGCUUCUCGGCGGCCCGGGGUUCGCUGGUUCGGAUCCCGGGUGCGGACAUGGCACUGCUUGGCAGCCAUGCUGUGGUAGGCGUCCCACGUAUAAACUAGAGGAAGAUGGGCACGGAUGUUAGCUCAGAGCCAGGCUUCCUCAGCAAAAAGAGGAGGACUGGCAGUAGUUAGCUGAGGGCUAAUCUUCCUCCAAAAAAAAAAAAAAAAGAAAGGCCUGGAGGCCUGAGGAGGCAAGGUGGUGGGAGGAAUGCUGUCCUUCUGCAGGGGAGGCUGGUUGAUAAGGCACAGUGGGCACUCCCAGUGCCCUCUGGGGUAGAUGGUGACAUGAGCUCCCGCCUGGCCCUCUGUGCCAGUCGAGCUGUUGUCAAGUCAGCGAAGCCCACCGGCAUGGGGUAGACGUGAGCCUGCCCAGCAGGUGGGAGCACGGAGGCCUGGAGGGAUGGUGGGUGGGCAGCAGGGGGCUCCAGGAGACUGGAAGCCAUGGGCGUGGGCGCUGUCAAAGCCGAGGUUCCACCUGCCAAGGUCUGGCCAGGGCCGGCUCCAGGGCCAGCGGGCUGCUCCCUGAGAGGGACUGCCUUUCAGAGUACUGGUACCUACUGGCCUGGCUUCAAAAUUCCAAGCCCAGAGCUGGAUGGACUCUCCAGGUCAGCAAGUAGGUAUCACCGUGUGUGCCAUCUCUCUUAUCCACCAUCCCUGGCAGCCUGCGGUGCCAAGCUGAGAAGGAAUCCAAAGCUGUAUAAGUGCUCAGCAUGACAGAGUGCUGCAAUCCAUUAGUAAUGUCUGCAGUGGGUAAGGAAAGGGAGAUCUAUGCUAUACAUGCCAGCCAUUUGUCAUUCCUGGUAAAUCCCCUUAUUUUGCAUAUGGAGAAACUGAUGCCCAGGGGAGGGAAUGCCCUCAUCCAGUUUCCAGUCCUUCUGCCUCGUAGUCUGACCUCUCCACAGACUUCUGGGUACCCAUCGUGACACAAAGUGAAAACAGUGAGCUGUGUGACAGGGACAUCAUACUGGAUCUGUCUGGAUCCACACUGUGUUCCUCCUCUUUUUUCUCCUUUGCUCGUAUCUUUUAAAAAUUUAAUGUGUUUUAUACAUUAUAAAAGAUAAAAAAUUAUGAGCAUCUGUGAACACACCACUCACUCCAGAACUGGAACCUUCUCAAUAAUUUGCAUCUGUGUGUUUGCAUCUUGUCGUACCUUGGAAGUCACCACUGUCCUGAAUGUUGUGUGUGUUUGUCAUUCUCUUGCUCAUAAGUCUACUGCAUAUGUCCAAGCAGUAUAUUGUUUUGUUUGUUCUUGAGCUUUGUAAAAUGGCAUACUAUGUAGAGACUUCUAAGGUUUGCAUUUUUUACUCAACAUUUUACUGUUUCUAAGCUUCAUCCAUGCUGUCUUGUGUAGCUGUAGUUUAUUUUCAACGGUGUGAAAAUAAAUUGUGACUAUUCCACAGCUUAUUUUUGCAUUCUCCUAUCCAUGAGUAUUUGGGUCAUUUCCAUUUUAUUUUUUUCUGUUAUUAACAAUGCUGCUAGGAGAUCUUGUACAUAUCUUCUGUAAUGCGUAGGGCUGGGCUUGCAGGGUUAGAAGGUGUGUAAAUGGUCAGCCUAACAAGAAAAUGCCCGUGUGAUUUCCUAAGUGGUGACCAGUUGACGCUCUCAUCAACACUGCUUAUGUGUCCCAGGUGGUCUAUACCCACUCAAGCCCUUGGUGCUGUCAGAUGUCUUACUUUUGACCAGUCUAGAGGGCAUCCGAUCACAGCUCACUGAGAUCUUAGUGUGCACAUCCGUGUACACUAGUGAAGGUGAGCAUCUCUUCCCACGUUCUCUGUGUGCCUGUGAUCUCCUCUGAGAAAUGCCUGCUGCAGAUCUUCUGCUCAUUGUAGGAGUUCUUUAUGUAUCUGGGUACUAAUCCUUUGCUGGUUGUGCAUAUUCCAAAUGUCUUCUUGCCAUUCGUGGUUUGUCUUUUCACUCGUCUUUUGGUAAAAAGUAAUUUUUCAUUUUACUGCAGUCAUAUCUACCAAUUUUUUUAUGCUUAGUGAGCUUUUCAUUUCUUGUUUAAGAAAUUGUUCCCAACCCCAAGUUUGGAAAGAUAGUUCCCCAUAGAAAAUUAUUCUUAAGUUUUAAAAUUUUCCCUUUCAAUGGAGGUUUUUAAUGUGUCUGGAAUUGGUUUGGGGGUGUGGUGUGAGGUGGUCUUCACUAAGUCCCAAGGGUGGGCCUCUGCAGGGACCCAUGUGGGUCAGGCCAGGCUUGCUAGUGCAGCAGCUGGGCGUCAGCGCCCCCACCCAGGGCUGGGCCAGGCCGUCUCCCCUUGGGAGGGAGCUUGAAGCCUUUGCGGUUUGUAGCUGUGUGUCAUAUCUAGAAACCCAGGCAUCCCAGACUCAUAAAUUACCUUGAACUAGUUUGCUAGCCCGUGUGCCUUGGUGCAGAGGCUUUUCAAAGGCAGCCGGUUAUGUAACUGGCUGAGUGAGGCAUGGCUCAGUCCCCUCAGAGAGGCAGGGCAGAGCCGGCCUGGCCAGGAUGCCGGCCACCCAGGACCACAGGGACCACGCAGGGAGCCGCUCGGGUCUGUGUGGUUCACUGGCAUUUCCAUGGAAACGCUCUCUCAGCAAGGAGCAAGAGUUGACAAGUCAGUGAAGCUGGAUGCUCACUCCCAGAGGCAUAACUAAGAUAUAACCUUGACUUUUCUUUUUCUGUUUGCUCUGUUGAAAUUAUGUGCUGGGAAGUCCCGUUUUGAGAUUCGCAUGGGUGGGCAAGGAGUGACGUUUUGCCAAGUUUGUGGAAGGAACCAUCCUCCGCACGACUUUUCCCAGACCUUGUUCAUCUGUGUAGGCUCCUACACGCUGACAUUCUCAGUGACACAACAAGUAUUGAUUUUUUUCCACUUCUUCUCUAAAUUCUUCUCUUCCUUCCGUCAGAUAUUGAUAUAUGAACAAGAAUGGGUACAUACGCCCAAGGACAUCGUUGAAAGGUGUAUACUUGAAAGGAAUAAGGAGAAAGGAAGGAGAGCGAGGAGAAGGCAAGUGAGAGAGCGAAGAAGCAGAGGAGGAUGGGAAGGAUGGGGAAGGCAAGUGGAGAAAAAAGUCAGAGAGUAGAAAGGCCGAGGAAGGAGAGGGAGGAAGAAGAGGGGAUGGUUGAGCCUCUGAUCCUUUCGUCUUAGCAAAUACGCGUCUGCUUCAUAGACGUGCUCCUCGCUCCAUCAGUGAGAGAAUCCCCAAAGUGCCUUUGGGCCAAGCUGCUUAAUUAAACGUUUAUAGAUAUAGAGAACCAGCCAAAUGUCUCCUUGUAAUAUUUAAUUCAUUUAGUGACAUGUACAUACUUAAAGCCACCUUUAAAAUGACAUACAAAUUUGGAAAUACUGUUUGUUUUCACUCUCACAUUUCAUUUAAUCAAGUCUUCAUUUUUGGUCCCAUAUCUUUGUCAUCAAUAGAGGUACUUUUGGAGUCACCCAACACUGUUUUCAGAAAGGACUUAGACAUUAAAGUUUACAGCUCAGGAAUAAUGACUGCAUUAUUUUUCCUGGCCUCUUUUUCCUUUUUUUUAACUGAUUCUCUUGGCUGCCCUCUCUAAGCAGCCAAAAUCCGCAUCAACUGAGCUAGUUUAUGGCUCAUCUUCUCCAAGCAACACUUUGUUUUUCAAUAUAAAGUAACCGAGAGAGCCCCAUAAAUGAGAAAGUUUGUGAGGACUGGAUUUGAAGGUGAUUCGCCUUUAUCUUUCUUUGAAGUAAAAUUCAGGCAACUAUGAUAGAGUUUUUCUAGAAGAGAGAAUUUUCUGGCUCAAGGCUAGGUUAGUUUUAGCUUAAGAUGUUCCAGAGAUUCAUUGAGCCCGCUGCUGUCACGUCAGGCUGGGACAAAAUCCCACCAAAUUAUACAUAGAGAAUACCUCCCAGGAGAUAUUAGCUUCCAGUAGGUUCUGGACUGUUCUAGCUAGCUCAGCCUCUCCAGGAACGGUACCCUGAGAGAAUGCCUGCCUCAUCUGUCCACGGUGGUGUUUCUCAGCUGGGACUAUCGUGCCUCCCAGAGGUCACUUGGCCAUGCCUGGAGCUGUUUUGGGUGGUUACGACUUGGGGUGUAUUAGAGUUCUUCAGAGAAACAGAAUCAACAGGAUCUGUGUGUAUAUAUAGAGAGAGAGGUUGAUUUUAAAGAGUUGGCUCAUGUGAUUAUGGGGGCUGGCAACUCCAAAAUCUGCAGUUCAAGUCAAAAGGCUGAUGUGGCAGGUCAAGUCCGAAGGCCGUCUGUGGGCAGAAUUCUCUUCUGCUUGGAGGAUGUCAGUCUUUUGUUCUAUUCAGGCUUUCAAAUGACUGGAUGAGGCCCAUCCACAUUCUAGGGGGCGUUCUGCUUUACUCACAGUCAGUCAAUUUAAAGGUUAAUCUCAUCUAAAACCACCCCCACGGCAACAUCCAGAAUAGCGUUUGACAAGAUAGCUGGGCACUGUGCCCCAGACAGGUUGACACAAAAUUAACCAUUGUGGGGGUGGGAGUUACUGGCAUCUAGUGGGUAGAGGCUGGGGACGCUGCUACAGUCCCACAAUGCACAGGACAGCCCCCAUGACAAAGAAUUACCCAGUCCCAAAUGUCAGGAGUCCCGAGGCUGAGAAACGCUGGUCCACAGGCUCCAGUCACAGACCUGGUAAUGUGACUCUAACAUCAUUGACUGGAGGUGACGGGACUCUUCCAGCUUGUGGGGAGCCAUUAGAUUCACCCAGAAAGAAAGUGAUCGGGGAAAACAUCUUAAUGAAGAUCAUUCUUCCUUCUCUUUCCACUUCAACUUGCUGGGAAAGAAUAGUAUUCCACUGAGACCUAUUUAUGACAAGACUGCUGGUUUGGGACUUCUGAGCAGAGAUAAAAUUAAUUUCUUCAUGCUGAUGCUUCAGUCAGUCUUUCAGCUACAGAAAUGUUCUGGGGAAAAGGAAAGAAAAGAGGGUUCCUGGCAGCUCCUCUGAGCUGGGUAAAGUGUGAACUCAGAUGUUCCUGGAGUAAAACCAGCAUUUGAGUGUAACUUUCACUGAGCAGUGCCGCCACCAAACAGGACAAGACACCCCAACUGCCAAUGAAUUUGCUGAAAACCACAGAGCAAUGGCUAUGCUCAUUUGUUCAUUCAUUCAUUGGUUCACUCAACAAAUAACUUGUGGAGGGCCCAGAAUGUGCUAGGCUCUGAGCCAAUAAGGCAGCCUGGUCUCUGUUCUCAAGUUUUGCAGCCUAAUGGAGAAGACAGACAAUGAAACACAAGUAGAAAUCCGUUAUCAGGGAGAAGAGGUUGUCAUGCGCGGAUAUACAACUUCAUUUAGAGACGACUUUUGCUGUACGCCAGUGGGAAAGAGCCCCGGGUUAGGAGCCAGAACUAGAUUCAAGUCCUAGCUCUUGGACUUCCUGGCUGGUCAAGUGAGUUAUCCUCUUGGAUGUCUUGUAAAAUUGGAACAAAAACCCCUGCCAUCUCACCUGUCACGUGGACUUGUUGUGAGAAGCAAACGCAAUAAUGUAGGAAAGUGCUUUGUCAGUCGUAAAGUACCAAACUCGUGUUGCUCAACCCUGGCUGUUAGAAUCACCUGGUGGUAGCUUUUAAAAAAACUGGUGCCAGGGGCGAGCCCCGUGGCUGGGUGGUUAAGUUCGUGUGCUCUGCUUUGGCAGCCCAGGGUUUUGUGGGUUCAGAUCCUGGGUGCGGACAUGGCACUGCUCAUCAAGCCAUGCUGAGGCGGCGUCGCACAUAGCACAACCAGAGGCACUCACAACUAGAAUCUGCAAAUCUACAGCUAUGUACUGGGGGGCUUUGGGGAGAAGAAGGAAAAAUUGAAAAAACAAAUACUGAUGCCUGAAACCCCAGCUCAGACAAGGUGGUCAGAAUCCCUCAGCAGAAGGGUCCAAGCACGGGCAUUUUUUAAAAGCUCGCAAGGAGAAACUAAAGCACGGCCAUCCUAUACAAGCAUCGUCAAUUUAUAUAGUGUUACUAUCUCAAAGUAAUCACAGCGCAAACUCGUAAUUUAGGGAUCUCUGUGCCCCAAGGUUUGUUCAAAUUUGAUGUGAAAAGUAGAUCUGGGCCACUCUGCUUUUCAGGGUCUUGCUUUAAUGCUGUAAGCAGCAGAGAAACCUGCCACAGCUCAGAAAUGAGACUCACCCAGUGACCCCAUGGGCCAGGAGACUUGGGGGUGGGGGUGGGGACAGCUCUCACCACAGGCAGUGAAAGAAAGUCCUCCACCAGGGGGAGUGUGAUCUCUUGAUGGCAGCAAACAUGAGUCUCAAACAACACACAUCGGAUUUUCUGCUCUGUGACAGCACUGUUUUAGACAUUAGCAAUGCUAUAACAAUCUGAAGAGGCAGCAAUCACUACUUCCAUGGGCAUCAUGUUCUAGCAGGAGGAAGAAGACAAAAAAAUGUGAGUAAAAUACAUUAAAUGUUAGAUGGUGAUAAGCACUACGGAGAAAAAGAAAAUACAGAAGGGGCACGAGUCUCUGGUCCUGUGAAAGAAUGAGCCACCUUGGUAUCCAGAGGAACAGUGUUUUAAGCAGAGGAAACAGCAAUGCAAAUGUCCUGAGGGAGAGGCGUGCCUGGCUUGUUUGAGGAACAGCAAGGAGGUCAGUAUCACUGGUGAGGGUGAGCAGAGUAGGAAAUGAGAUCAGAGAGUUAUCUGCAGGCCUGACUACAGUGCCUUGCAGGAUAAUGUGAAGACUUUUAUUUUUACUCUGCAUGAGAAAGAUUUUGAGCAUAGGAGUGGUACGAUAUGACUUGCGUCUUUACAGGAUCACUCUCUCUGCCAUGUGGACAAUGAACUCAAGGGGACAAAUGCGGAGGCAGGAAGACCAGUUAGGAGUCUGUUGUGGUCAUCUGAGGGGAAAGGCUGCUGGUUUGGACGGGGGAGGGAGCAGUGGAAGUCAUGAGAAGUGGUCAGGGAUGUGGGGAGAAGCAGCAGAGCCCAGGUGAGGAGCCAGCAUCGCAAGUAAUGACACAAGGACAAGUUAACCAAAACAUGCCAGCAAAUCCAGGGAUAGUGUGUAAGAAACUCAGAGAAUCCACCAAGAUCAAUGCCUCCAGAGGGCCAGAAAUGGUCUUCCCUGCAGCCCUCCAUCUCUCUGUGCGCCUGGUAUUUGAAAUGCCCCAGGCACCCUCACAGUUGAAAAUGAUUUCCGACGGGAGAGAGACCUUCACCGUUAUUGAAGCCUUGUGCAAAUCCAAAUUCAAACACUACCAAUCACUGCCCCCUGCUGGACGUUUCUGAAAGGGAGACGUAAAACAUGAUUCAGCAGACCCUUGCUGGAGAACCACCAUGAAUCGAAUCGGUGAGAUUGGGACUUGGCAAGACUGGAAGCGUGCAGUGGAAAGAAACGGGGCAGAGCUCAUGGACCUCUUGAACUCUGUCCAAGGACCCCUUGAAGACUUGAAGGCUGUGGGUUAAUAAUCCCUGGUUCGAUGCUUCUUUAAGCAGUCUCUCACACAUUUUGUGAACUGAAGGAAGUGAAACCUCACUCAAGGAGCCAGGCUCGAUAAAGAAGGGCUGAGUCCAUCACAGGAAUCUCAGCUGCUGGUGGGACUUUUGUAACUUCACUGGGAACACGGGGAACAGAAGAUUUUAAGUGGGAAAUUCACAUCAUUUUAAUUUUCUAAAAAGGGGGAAAAAAUCUGCAAACCACAGACUGGGGAGCUGAGUCUCAGUUCCAGAGCAGAGUUGCCAGCCUGGAGAAGCUGUAAGAGACCCUGAUGCCAGUAGGUGGAGCGAGCGAGCGGUCACCAAGGACAAACGGCAGCGCGGUCACUUCAUUUUCUUUUGCUUGGAGCACGCGACUGGACUGGCCUUACCAAGACCACGUGUGACUCCUCCGAAAGAUGUUUGAGGGUCUCACUAAUGGUAUAUUUUCUGACAAAUGGAGAGAUGUGGGCUAAGCCCAAAUUAGUUGCAUUCAGAACAUUUAAAAAAUAGAUAAUUGGCCAUUCUCAUAUCUUAUCAAAUUGUACGACACACUAUCUUGUCCUUCUCCCUAUGACCAACCAGUGUCUAGAUUCACACUGGCAUAUGAACUUGUUUUCAUCAAAUGGGUUAAUAAGAAUCGGAGGGUUGGUUUGAGCCACGUUAGGCUGCACUGAAUGAAGAGGUAUAAUGUCUAGAGGAGGAGAGAUGAUGGGUUUACUCUCCUCUGGGCUAGGUAGACCACGUGGAAAGUUGUACUCAGUUUGGAAUACCACAUUUUUUAAGUGAAUACAGACAAAUUGGAACACUAUAAGCAGUGUGACAAGGAUGCUGAGGACUUGCGAUAUGUAUAUGCAAUGCAUACAAAAGACCUGGGGAUGCUCAAACAUGACGAGGAGCAGGGGUCUUGGGGGUGAGGGGAUAAGUCGGCUGCUCACAUCUGCUCGAGAGGCUGACAGGUAGAAGACUGUACAGGCGGAACUGGACGUGCAGUCGCUGCUCUUGGACCAAUCAGCGAAAGGGGAAGAACUGGAAUGAAGCUCAACCAACGGAGGAACGUUCAAACAGCUGCAGAUGUUCAAAGAUGAAGAGAUGUCAGUAGGAGGGAGUGAGUUCUCCUUCACCAGAUGUGUUCAAGUCAUUGAUAGACUCUAGCAACACUUUUCAUGGAUUUGGAGAAGAAGGCUCAAGUAUAAGCUGAGUGGUAGAUGAGGUCAGGGUUCACCAUAUGCUAGUCUAGGGAUGGGUGACAGUCCAUUAUAAAAUUUUUACUGAGUCCCUAGAAAGAUACAGGCAACAUGGCUCAUAAAUCUUAACUUAUUCCACUUAAAAGACUAUAAUUUAUUCUGAUAUUUUUUACUUCUUACUUUGUAAGGGUGAAAUGCCAUUUCCUUAAUGAAAUAAUAGCAAUGAUAGGAAUAGGUUUUAAAAUAUACCUUACCUGGCAAAAUAAAAAGUUUGGCAACCC